CGGGUGAGUAAUAUAUCGGAACGUGCCCAGUAGCGGGGGAUAACUACUCGAAAGAGUGGCUAAUACCGCAUACGCCCUACGGGGGAAAGGGGGGGAUCGCAAGACCUCUCACUAUUGGAGCGGCCGAUAUCGGAUUAGCUAGUUGGUGGGGUAAAGGCUCACCAAGGCAACGAUCCGUAGCUGUUUUGAGAGGACGWCCAGCCACACUGGGACUGAGACACGGCCCAGACUCYUACGGGAGGCAGCAGUGGGGAAUUUUGGACAAUGGGGGAAACCCUGAUCCAGCCAUCCCGCGUGUAUGAUGAAGGCCUUCGGGUUGUAAAGUACUUUUGGCAGAGAAGAAAAGGUAUCCCCUAAUACGGGAUACUGCUGACGGUAUCUGCAGAAUAAGCACCGGCUAACUACGUGCCAGCAGCCGCGGUAAUACGUAGGGUGCAAGCGUUAAUCGGAAUUACUGGGCGUAAAGCGUGUGUAGGCGGUUCGGAAAGAAAGAUGUGAAAUCCCAGGGCUCAACCUUGGAACUGCAUUUUUAACUGCCGAGCUAGAGUAUGUCAGAGGGGGGUAGAAUUCCACGUGUAGCAGUGAAAUGCGUAGAUAUGUGGAGGAAUACCGAUGGCGAAGGCAGCCCCCUGGG
RNAcentral lists this ribosomal RNA (634 nucleotides) under Alcaligenes sp. N0. Its description in RNAcentral is "bacterial SSU rRNA". It matches the Rfam family "Bacterial small subunit ribosomal RNA", at positions 103 to 733 of the family's 1533-position model. Lineage: Bacteria; Pseudomonadati; Pseudomonadota; Betaproteobacteria; Burkholderiales; Alcaligenaceae. The record is from RNAcentral.